This 493-nucleotide ribosomal RNA is filed under the name Occidozyga sumatrana. Its description in RNAcentral is "partial 12S small subunit ribosomal RNA". It matches the Rfam family "Bacterial small subunit ribosomal RNA", at positions 792 to 1525 of the family's 1533-position model. The record is from RNAcentral. Lineage: Eukaryota; Metazoa; Chordata; Amphibia; Anura; Dicroglossidae.
AUGCCUAGCCGUAAAAUCAACUCACAUCAACUCACGCCCGGGUAUUACGAGCAUAGCUUAAAACCCAAAGGACUUGACGGUGUCCCAUCCCACUAGAGGAGCCUGUCCUAGAAUCGAUACUCCCCGUUUAACCUCACCACUUCUCGCUUUACUCAGUUAGUAUACUUCCGUCGCAAGCUUACCACAUGAGUGUCGUAGUAGGCAAAAUGAUUAUCAUAGUAAGUACGUCAGGUCAAGGUGCAGCAUAAGAAGUGGGCUGAGAUGGGCUACAAUUUCUAAUAUAGAACACACGAAACGCCAAAUGAAACAUGGCAUGAAGGAGGAUCUAGUAGUAAAAAGAGAAUAGAGUGCUCUUUUAAACAGCGGCUCUGGAACGCGUACAAACCGCCCGUCACCCUCCUCAACAAACACACUUUUGUAAAUAACACCAAUUUUGUUACCAGAGGAGGCAAGUCGUAACACGGUAAGUGUACUGGAAAGUGCACUUGGAUAA